Molecule: ribosomal RNA, 441 nt
Filed under: uncultured bacterium
Lineage: Bacteria
Description: partial 16S ribosomal RNA
Rfam family: Bacterial small subunit ribosomal RNA
Source: RNAcentral
CCUACGGGUGGCAGCAGUGGGGAAUAUUGCACAAUGGGGGAAACCCUGAUGCAGCGACGCCGCGUGAGUGAAGAAGUAUUUCGGUAUGUAAAGCUCUAUCAGCAGGGAAGAAAAUGACGGUACCUGACUAAGAAGCCCCGGCUAACUACGUGCCAGCAGCCGCGGUAAUACGUAGGGGGCAAGCGUUAUCCGGUUUUACUGGGUGUAAAGGGAGCGUAGGUGGCAUGGUAAGCCAGAAGUGAAAACCCGGGGCUCAACCCCGCGGAUUGCUUUUGGAACUAUCAGGCGGGAGUGCUGGAGGGGUAAGCGGAAUUCCUAGUGUAGCGGUGAAAGGCGUAGAUAUUAGGAGGAACACCGGUGGCGAAGGCGGCUUACUGGACAGAAACUGACACUGAGGCUCGAAAGCGUGGGGAGCAAACAGGAUUAGAUACCCUAGUAGUC